RNAcentral lists this ribosomal RNA (18 nucleotides) under Teratosphaeria epicoccoides. Its description in RNAcentral is "partial 28S ribosomal RNA". Lineage: Eukaryota; Fungi; Ascomycota; Dothideomycetes; Mycosphaerellales; Teratosphaeriaceae. The record is from RNAcentral.
GUGGACCUCGAUCAGGCA